AGGGGGCAACUCCUCCAGUCGAGCGGCGGACGGGUGAGUAACACGUGGGCAAUCUGCCCGAAAGUGGGGAAUACCCCAGGGAAACUCGGGCUAAUACCGCAUGUCAUCGCGACCUCGAGAGAGGAUGCGAUCAAAGGGGGGUCGCAAGACCUCCCGCUUUCGGAGGAGCCCGCGCCCGAUUAGCUAGUUGGUGAGGUAACGGCUCACCAAGGCUUCGAUCGGUAGCCGGCCUGAGAGGGUGAUCGGCCACACCGGAACUGAGACACGGUCCGGACUCCUACGGGAGGCAGCAGUGGGGAAUCUUGCGCAAUGGGCGAAAGCCUGACGCAGCAACGCCGCGUGAAGGAUGAAGGUCCUUGGAUUGUAAACUUCUGUCGGCCGGGAAGAAAUUCAUCGGGGUCAAUACCCCCGGUGAUUGACUGUACCGGCAAAGGAAGCCCCGGCUAACUCUGUGCCAGCAGCCGCGGUAAUACAGAGGGGGCAAGCGUUAUUCGGAAUUAUUGGGCGUAAAGGGCGCGUAGGCGGUCCUUCAAGUCUCUCGUGAAAUCCCUCGGCUUAACUGAGGACGUGCGGGAGAUACUGCUGGGCUUGAGUCCGGAAGAGGGUGGUGGAAUUCCCAGUGUAGCGGUGAAAUGCGUAGAUAUUGGGAGGAACACCGGUGGCGAAGGCGGCCACCUGGGCCGGAACUGACGCUGAGGCGCGAAAGCGUGGGGAGCAAACGGGAUUAGAUACCCCGGUAGUCCACGCCGUAAACGAUGGGCACUUGGUGUCGCGGGUAUCGACCCCUGCGGUGCCGAAGCUAACGCAUUAAGUGCCCCGCCUGGGGAGUACGGUCGCAAGGCUG
Molecule: ribosomal RNA, 844 nt
Filed under: uncultured Pseudomonadota bacterium
Lineage: Bacteria; Pseudomonadati; Pseudomonadota
Description: bacterial SSU rRNA
Rfam family: Bacterial small subunit ribosomal RNA
Source: RNAcentral